Molecule: long non-coding RNA, 312 nt
Organism: Nematolebias whitei (Rio pearlfish)
Lineage: Eukaryota; Metazoa; Chordata; Actinopteri; Cyprinodontiformes; Rivulidae
Exons: 3
Source: RefSeq, a predicted model, not a curated record
CAGAUUCGGGACCGGAACUCCCAGUAGAACCGGGUUCAAAGAGGUUCGGGUCCUGGGCUGAGAAGUUCCGGGAAACCGAGCGCUUCAUCGCUGCAGAUCCGGGUCGGAGUGGGCUGCGUCCGGCUGACUGAGCCAGAACCAUGUACCAGGUCCAGCUGGUUGGCGAGCAGCAGGAGAGCCGCCCCCUGCUGAGCCCCUCCAUCGAUGACUUCCUGUCUGAGAGCCGCAGUGACGCCAGCCAACCACUGAGCUCCAGCGCAGCAGCUCUGGACCUGGUGGACCUCAGCGACCCCGGUGGGAGCAGAAACCCCA